This 309-nucleotide ribosomal RNA is filed under the name uncultured eukaryote. Its description in RNAcentral is "partial large subunit ribosomal RNA". It matches the Rfam family "Eukaryotic large subunit ribosomal RNA", at positions 40 to 350 of the family's 3401-position model. The record is from RNAcentral.
AUAUCAGUAAGCGGAGGAAAAGAAACUAACAAGGAUUCCCGCAGUAACUGCGAGUGAAGAGGGAAGAGCCCAGCCCUGGAAUCUGUGCCCGGUGGGUGCAGAGUUGUAGGCUGAAGUGUCGAUGCACGGCGCGAUGGCCCCGUCUAACUGGCCCGGAAUGGCCGGACAGAGAAGGUGAUAUUCCUGUGAGGCGGGGUCGGAGUGUCACGCGCGGCACGGCGAGUCGGACUGUUUGGGAUUGCAGUUUGAAGUUGGUGGUAGACUCCAUCUAAGGCUAAAUACGAGCGAGAGACCGAUAGCGCACAAGUA